AUCCAGCUGAUGAGUCCCGAAUAGAGCGAAAUUCGCAUCCUGGAU
RNAcentral lists this non-coding RNA (45 nucleotides) under Trichobilharzia regenti. Lineage: Eukaryota; Metazoa; Platyhelminthes; Trematoda; Strigeidida; Schistosomatidae. The record is from RNAcentral.